RNAcentral lists this long non-coding RNA (336 nucleotides) under Canis lupus familiaris (dog). RNAcentral describes it as "lncRNA (ENSCAFG00040011882.1)". The record is from RNAcentral. Lineage: Eukaryota; Metazoa; Chordata; Mammalia; Carnivora; Canidae.
AUGCCUUGGUUCUUCUGGUGUCUACCUUGGGCACAGACUGAGUGGGCUCCAGUGAUUAGAGAAAGCCUCUUGGGAAGAGUCCCAGGGCUCCUGUUUGUGAAACUUUCAGUUGGCCUUCCUUGGAGUAGAAGGAGAGAGACAGAGACAGAGAGAAUCUUAAGCAGGCUCCACGUCCAGUGUGGAGCCCAACAUGGGACUCAAUCCCAUGACCUUGAGAUCAUGACCUAAGCUGAAAUCAAGAGCUGGAUGUUCAACCUCAUGAGCCAUGCAGUACAACAGAAAAUUCUGAUCAUUAUAUAUAAAACACAGACUUGAAGACUAAAAGUUCAAGAGAAG